GACAGAGGCCCCGAGCGUUAGGCGGAAUCACUGGGCUUAAAGCGUGUGUAGGCGGGAGCGUAAGUACCUUGUGAAAUCCCUCGGCUCAACCGGGGAACUGCGUCUGAUACUGGUUGGCUUGAGUGCAGGAGAGGAACGCGGAAUUCCAGGUGUAGCGGUGAAAUGCGUAGAUAUCUGGAGGAACACCGGUGGCGAAGGCGGCGUUCUGGACUGCAACUGACACUGAGGAACGAAAGCCAGGGGAGCAAACGGG
RNAcentral lists this ribosomal RNA (253 nucleotides) under uncultured bacterium. RNAcentral describes it as "partial 16S ribosomal RNA". It matches the Rfam family "Bacterial small subunit ribosomal RNA", at positions 524 to 776 of the family's 1533-position model. The record is from RNAcentral.